UACGUAGGGGGCAAGCGUUGUCCGGAAUCAUUGGGCGUAAAGAGCGCGUAGGCGGUCCGGUAAGUCCGCUCUGAAAGUCCGGGGCUCAACCCCGGGAGGCGGGCGGAUACUGUCGGGCUAGAGUCCGGAAGAGGCGAGUGGAAUUCCUGGUGUAGCGGUGAAAUGCGCAGAUAUCAGGAGGAACACCGAUGGCGAAGGCAGGUCUCUGGGCCACUACUGACGCUGAGAAGCGAAAGCAUGGGGAGCGAACAGG
This 253-nucleotide ribosomal RNA is filed under the name uncultured bacterium. RNAcentral describes it as "partial 16S ribosomal RNA". It matches the Rfam family "Bacterial small subunit ribosomal RNA", at positions 524 to 776 of the family's 1533-position model. The record is from RNAcentral.